AGAUUGAACGCUGGCGGCAGGCCUAACACAUGCAAGUCGAGCGGUAGUGAGGUGCUUGCAUCUCUUGAGAGCGGCGGACGGGUGAGUAAUGCCUAGGAAUCUGCCUAGUGGUGGGGGAUAACGGUUCGGAAACGGACGCUAAUACCGCAUACGUCCUACGGGAGAAAGCGGGGGACCUUCGGGCCUCGCGCCAUUAGAUGAGCCUAGGUCGGAUUAGCUAGUUGGUGAGGUAAUGGCUCA
RNAcentral lists this ribosomal RNA (240 nucleotides) under uncultured soil bacterium. RNAcentral's name for it is "partial 16S ribosomal RNA". It matches the Rfam family "Bacterial small subunit ribosomal RNA", at positions 26 to 267 of the family's 1533-position model. The record is from RNAcentral.